Molecule: transfer RNA, 72 nt
Filed under: Loxodonta africana (African savanna elephant)
Lineage: Eukaryota; Metazoa; Chordata; Mammalia; Proboscidea; Elephantidae
Rfam family: tRNA
About the family: Transfer RNA (tRNA) molecules are approximately 80 nucleotides in length.
Source: Rfam by way of RNAcentral
GCCCUGGUAUCAAAAUGGUUAAAUGUUUGGCUGCUAACCAAAAUGUUGGUGGUUCAAACCCACCCAGCGGCU